RNAcentral lists this ribosomal RNA (450 nucleotides) under uncultured bacterium. Its description in RNAcentral is "partial 16S ribosomal RNA". It matches the Rfam family "Bacterial small subunit ribosomal RNA", at positions 354 to 796 of the family's 1533-position model. The record is from RNAcentral.
GUGGGGAAUAUUGGACAAUGGGCGCAAGCCUGAUCCAGCAAUGCCGCGUGUGUGAAGAAGGCCUUCGGGUUGUAAAGCACUUUUGGCAGGAAAGAAAUAGUGCGUGCUAAUACCAUGCGCGAAUGACGGUACCUGCAGAAUAAGCACCGGCUAACUACGUGCCAGCAGCCGCGGUAAGACGUAGGGUGCAAGCGUUAAUCGGAAUUACUGGGCGUAAAGCGUGCGCAGGCGGUUUUGUAAGACAGGUGUGAAAUCCCCGGGCUCAACCUGGGAACUGCACUUGUGACUGCAAGGCUAGAGUGUGUCAGAGGGAGGUGGAAUUCCGCGUGUAGCAGUGAAAUGCGUAGAGAUGCGGAGGAACACCGAUGGCGAAGGCAGCCUCCUGGGAUAACACUGACGCUCAGGCACGAAAGCGUGGGGAGCAAACAGGAUUAGAUACCCUAGUAGUCC